Molecule: ribosomal RNA, 264 nt
Filed under: uncultured archaeon
Lineage: Archaea
Description: partial 16S ribosomal RNA
Rfam family: Archaeal small subunit ribosomal RNA
Source: RNAcentral
AGUCACUGACAUUAGAUACCCGGGUAGUCCCAGCCGUAAACAAUGUGCGUUAGGUGUGUCGGUAACCACGUGUUACUGAUGCGCCGAAGAGAAAUCGUGAAACGCACCACCUGGGAAGUACGGUCGCAAGGCUGAAACUUAAAGGAAUUGGCGGGGAGCACCACAACAGGUGGAGCCUGCGGUUUAAUUGGAUUCAACGCCGGACAUCUCACCGGAUAAGACAGCUGAAUGGUUGUCAAUCUGAAGGUUUUACAUGACUAGCUG